RNAcentral lists this ribosomal RNA (253 nucleotides) under uncultured bacterium. RNAcentral describes it as "partial 16S ribosomal RNA". It matches the Rfam family "Bacterial small subunit ribosomal RNA", at positions 524 to 776 of the family's 1533-position model. The record is from RNAcentral.
GACAGAGGGGGCAAGCGUUGCUCGGAAUUACUGGGCGUAAAGGGCGCGUAGGCGGGAUGGCAAGUCGGUCGUGAAAUCCUUCGGCUCAACCGAAGAACGUCGAUCGAUACUGCUGUUCUUGAGGGUUGCAGAGGAGACUGGAAUUCCCGGUGUAGCGGUGAAAUGCGUAGAUAUCUGGAGGAACACCGGUGGCGAAGGCGGCAUCCUGGACCAAUUCUGACGCUGAGGAGCGAAAGCCAGGGGAGCAAACGGG